This 136-nucleotide small nucleolar RNA is filed under the name Phascolarctos cinereus (koala). The record is from RNAcentral. Lineage: Eukaryota; Metazoa; Chordata; Mammalia; Diprotodontia; Phascolarctidae.
CAGGCCCUGAAUCAAGACCAGUGGUUUGCCGUAGCUAUUGGUUUCACACAGGAGCCCAGAAGAAUGUCUCCCCAUGGUCUGUUGGCUUUUCUGAAUCCCUAGUGGGGAAUGGCCAAUUCAGUUGGAAGAGACAAUU